CAUGGUUUAGCUAGUCUAACCAAGCAAAAAGAAAUUCAGUUUGACUUCCCGAAACUAAGUGAGCUACCUUAGGACAGCCUAAUGGGCAAACCCGUCUCUGUUGCAAAAGAGUGGGAAGAUCUUAAGGUAGAGGUGAUAUACCUAACGAACUUAGCAAUAGCUGGUUAUUUAGGAAAAGAAUCUUAGUUCAACCUAAAGCUUUAUUAAUACCCCAAAAUAAAAUUACUUUAGAGCUAUUCAAACAAGUCACAGCUUCUUUGAAAUAGGGUACAACCUCAACCUGUGGGUAAUUAACUACUGAACAAAUACAAGUAGGCCUAAAAGCAGCCACCUUUAAAAAAGCGUCAAAGCUUAUCUCCAAAACUUUUAUAUAUUCCUCAAACUAUUAAAAACCCCUCAACAGUACUAAAUAAUCCUAUACCCCUAUAGGACUCUUUAUGCUAAAACUAGUAACAAGAAAACCUUCUCUUAUAUGUAAGUGUAAAUCAGAAUAGAAAUUCUACUGAUACCUAACAGCCUUAACUCAAAGUACCAAACUACUUAGAAAAAUCUACUGAUUUAGCUGUUAAUCUAACACAAGAACAUAAAAAGAAAGAUUAUAAGAAAAAGAAGGAACUCGGCAAACCUUGAUUCCGCCUGUUU
RNAcentral lists this ribosomal RNA (642 nucleotides) under Eleutherodactylus cf. auriculatus 4 AR-2009. RNAcentral's name for it is "partial 16S ribosomal RNA". The stretch from base 1 to 445 matches the Rfam family "Bacterial large subunit ribosomal RNA", at positions 614 to 1301 of the family's 2925-position model. The record is from RNAcentral. Lineage: Eukaryota; Metazoa; Chordata; Amphibia; Anura; Eleutherodactylidae.